Phragmites australis (common reed) is the source of this 1510-nucleotide long non-coding RNA. RefSeq lists it as uncharacterized. NCBI's taxonomy places the organism in Eukaryota, Viridiplantae, Streptophyta, Magnoliopsida, Poales, Poaceae. The transcript has 4 exons. The record is from RefSeq and is a predicted model, not a curated record.
GUGGAUUCGUGGCUAAUUUUGGGAACUGGUGUUUUACGAGGUUAGUUCAUUUCGAGCGCGGGGGUUGUGCCUUCAAUAGAGGAUGUGCUGAGGAGGGAGAGAGUGGUCCACGAGCUCGACAAGAUAGUGAUGGAUUGGGCAAAGAGGGUGGCGUACGAGCAGGGGGAACAGCAUUGGAUCACACCAAGCAUAUGGAACUGAAUCUGAUAUUGAUGCUCUUUGUGUUGGUCCCUAUAUUGCGUCACUGCAACAUCAUUUUUUCGUUGUUCUGCAACAAAUGCUUGAAGGAAGGCCAGAAGUAUCAGAAUUGCAUUCCAUUGAUGGCGCUAAGGUUCCAUUGAUUCGUUUUAAAUUCAAUGGGAUUUUAGUUGAUUUUCCUUAUGUGCGACUCCCAGUGAUCAAUGCUGCAGAGGUAAGCAUCGUGGUCUUUUGAUUAGUGUUUGUUUACUACCUUAUAUUAUAUGUGUUGCAUUUGUUCAUUCCAUGAAUAUAUUUUUGCAUUUCAGGUUUUCUUGAAAUACCUUUCUGUCUAACUAUCCUAUAACAUCAUGCUUUCAUUUUGGUCGUGCUGUACCUUGAUAAGUUAUUUUACUUGCUACAUCUUUUGCAGCAUUUAGUGAGGCAUACAUAAUGUCUCUUGAAAGCAACGCCUAAUUGUGAACUAGAUUUCCCUCCAAGAAAUUUCAGUCCAGCAACUUAAUGUGUUGUACAUUUAUUUCAACAAGGUUUUUGGUCUUGCACGUAAAUGAGUUAAAGCAUUCUAGUAUUUGUGAAGACUGAUAUCUUUGAUAUCCUUAUGCAUUGGACAAGAUCUGUUUGCCUCUCUGUUCUCCAGAUUGCAACACAGACAUGGUUAUAUGUCUGCAGUAAAAUCCUACCUAUCCAGGCUAGCAGAUAGAGGUCAUUGCUGAAAGCCUUUUAACCAAUAAGAUAUCUGAGUCUUAUUUGGUAAAUUUUUGCUCAUGCAAAUCUGAUAAGGGUAUCAUGUCCCGUCUGUCCUUAUUGGCUGUUGCUUAGUAGUUUUUCCUGAUCCAUUCACUAGUGAAAUUGUUGCUCAUGCAAAUCCUACCUAUUCUGUCUCAUGCAUCCAUUUUUUAUGAUCUGAUAUACAACCGGAAGUAAUCUAGAAUACUACUCCCUCUGAUUCUAAAUGUAAGUAGUUUUGGACUUUACUGUUUUUAUUUGAGUUCAAUUUUUGUCUAUGGGAUUUUCAUAGCUGGCAUAUGUUACUGCAAGACAGGCUUGUUCAGUUGCUCUUAUUUUACGCGUCUGUUCAUCAUCAUGUUCUAUUAGUGCUGUUAUUUGUGCUGUCACUUAUGCAACUCCAUUUUUUAGUAUUUUAAGCUUGCCUAAAUAUAUAUUAGAGUGUUAAGUAAGCUUAUGGCCUAAACAGUGCUGCUGUGGCGGUUAUAACGGUUGGGAAAAAAUCAGUUUAAUAUAGUGGAGAGAAGAUAGUGGAUGAGAUAUAGAGUAGCUGCUGGAGAUGGGUGAAAUGAGGGAUACUGUAAUA